GACGAACGCUGGCGGCGUGCUUAACACAUGCAAGUCGAACGGAAAGGCCCCUUUUGGGGUACUCGAGUGGCGAACGGGUGAGUAACACGUGAGUAACCUGCCCUUGACUUCGGGAUAACUUCAGGAAACUGGGGCUAAUACCGGCUAGGAAUCCUUGCUGCAUGGUGGGGGGUGGAAAGCUUCGGCGGGUUUGGAUGGACUCGCGGCUUAUCAGCUUGUUGGUGGGGUAGUGGCUUACCAAGGCUUUGACGGGUAGCCGGCCGGAGAGGGGGAACGGCCACAUUUGGACUGAGAUACGGCCCAGACUCCUACGGGAGGCAGGAGUGGGGAAUAUUGCACAAUGGGCGGAAGCCUGAUGCAGCAACGCCGCGUGCGGGAUGACGGGCUUCGGGUUGUAAACCGGUUUCAGCAUGGGCGAAGCUUGUGGUGACGGUACCUGCAGAAGAAGCACCGGCUAACUACGUG
Molecule: ribosomal RNA, 465 nt
Filed under: uncultured bacterium
Lineage: Bacteria
Description: partial 16S ribosomal RNA
Rfam family: Bacterial small subunit ribosomal RNA
Source: RNAcentral